Molecule: long non-coding RNA, 668 nt
Filed under: Canis lupus familiaris (dog)
Lineage: Eukaryota; Metazoa; Chordata; Mammalia; Carnivora; Canidae
Description: lncRNA (ENSCAFG00000034538.3)
Source: RNAcentral
UCUGACCCCGCCAGCCACGCCUCCGCGCGCCGCCGGCCGGCGCGGGCGGGGGUCGCUGCGCUCCAGUGCGUCUGCGCGGCCGCCGAGGCUCGGCUGCUAAACUCCAGGAGUGCGCUCCAGUGCGUCUGCGCAGCCGCCGCGGCUCCGGGUUGCUAGGCUCCAGGCCUGCGCUCCAGUGCGUCUGCGCGGCCGCCGCGGCUCUGGGCUACUGAGCUCCAGGGCUGCGCUCCAGUGCGUCUGCGCAGCCGCAGCGGCUCCGGGUUGCUAGGUUCCAGGGCUGCGCUCCAGUGCGUCUGCGCAGCCGCAGAGGCUCCGGGUUGCUAGGUUCCAGGGCUGCGCUCCAGUGCGUCUGCGCGGCCGCCGCGGCUCCGGGCUGCAGAGCUGCAGGGCUGCAGGGCUCCGGGGCUGCGCUCCAGUGCGGCUCCGGGCUGCAUGGCUCCAGGGAGACCCCGCCCGCCCGCGCUCUCCGCCUUCCUCCAGGGCCUUCUGAAACUGUAUCCAUCAAGCACCUGGCCAAGUGCCCGGCGUUGGGAGGUGUUCGGUGUAGUAUGCUGAGAGCCAUGUUUUCUGGCACUGGAAACAAGACACCUGGUUGUGCAGUGUGUGCAGUGCACAAACACGCUGGGCCAAGGGGCUACCUACUGAAAACAACCAACCAACCAUUUUGA